Xyrauchen texanus (razorback sucker) is the source of this 392-nucleotide non-coding RNA. NCBI's taxonomy places the organism in Eukaryota, Metazoa, Chordata, Actinopteri, Cypriniformes, Catostomidae. The record is from the annotation of a RefSeq genome assembly.
UCAAAAUGAUUACACUUGCACUAAUUAAACUGAUCAUUCUGGGAUUUGCUUCAGGAGCCAGUGAUGUUACACAAAGACCGAACAUACUAUGGGUUUUACAGGGAGAAUCUGCACAUAUGAACUGCAGUCAUACUAAGGAUGCAAGCUAUAUCUACAUGUCCUGGUUCAGACAAAAGCAGCAAGAGUCGAUGAAAUCCGUUGCAUUUAUUUCGACCAGCAACAAUCCAGACUUUGGUGAUUUACCUAAGGGGAAAUAUUCAGCCAAUAAAACUGUAGCUGAGAGUGGAUAUUUCACUGUAGAAAAGGUGCAGCCUGAUGACAGUGGUGUGUAUUUCUGUGCAGUCAGUGAGCACAGUGACACAGACUUACUGUACUGCUGUACAAAAACCUAA